CAGUAGCCACGGGAAUACGUAGGUGGCAGGCGUUGUCCGGAAUUAUUGGGCGUAAAGGGCUCGCAGGCGGUUUCUUAAGUCUGAUGUGAAAGCCCCCGGCUCAACCGGGGAGGGUCAUUGGAAACUGGGAAACUUGAGUGCAGAAGAGGAGAGUGGAAUUCCACGUGUAGCGGUGAAAUGCGUAGAGAUGUGGAGGAACACCAGUGGCGAAGGCGACUCUCUGGUCUGUGACUGACGCUGAGGAGCGAAAGCGUGGGGAGCGAACAGGAUUAGAUACCCCUGUAGUCCCUGUCUCUUAUAC
RNAcentral lists this ribosomal RNA (301 nucleotides) under uncultured bacterium. RNAcentral describes it as "partial 16S ribosomal RNA". It matches the Rfam family "Bacterial small subunit ribosomal RNA", at positions 509 to 807 of the family's 1533-position model. The record is from RNAcentral.